This 377-nucleotide ribosomal RNA is filed under the name uncultured bacterium. RNAcentral describes it as "bacterial SSU rRNA". It matches the Rfam family "Bacterial small subunit ribosomal RNA", at positions 521 to 896 of the family's 1533-position model. The record is from RNAcentral.
UAAGACGGGGGAUGCAAGUGUUAUCCGGAAUCACUGGGCGUAAAGCGUCUGCAGGUGGUUUCCUAAGUCCACUGUUAAACCUUGAGGCUCAACCUCAAAUCUGCAUUGGAAACUAGGAGACUUGAGUAUAGUAGGGGUAGAGGGAAUUUCCAGUGGAGCGGUGAAAUGCGUAGAUAUUGGAAAGAACACCGAUGGCGAAGGCACUCUACUGGGCUAUUACUGACACUCAGAGACGAAAGCUAGGGGAGCAAAUGGGAUUAGAUACCCCAGUAGUCCUAGCCGUAAACGAUGGAUACUCGAUGUUGGACGUAUCGACCCGUUCAGUAUCUUAGCUAACGCGUUAAGUAUCCCGCCUGGGAAGUACGCUCGCAAGAGUG